GAUAAACGACUGGCGGCGUGCAUGAGACAUGCAAGUCGAACGGACGAUCGAGGCUUGCUUCGAUCGUUAGUGGCGGACGGCUGAGUAACGCGUAGGUGACCUGCCCCGAACGUGGGGAAUAACUGCCCGAAAGGGUGGCUAAUACCGCAUGUGGUGGUGUGUUCAAUCACACCAGUAAAGCCGCAAGGCGCUUCGGGAGGGGCCGUGCGUCCGAUUAGCUCGUUGGUGGGGUAACGGCUCACCAAGGCGACGAUCGGUAGGUGGUCUGAGAGGACGAUCACCCAGACUGGGACUGAGACACGGCCCAGACUCCUACGGGAGGGCAGCAGUCGGGAAUUUUGCGCAAUGGACGAAAGUCUGACGCAGCAACGCCGCGUGAGGGAUGACGGCCU
Molecule: ribosomal RNA, 392 nt
Filed under: uncultured bacterium
Lineage: Bacteria
Description: bacterial SSU rRNA
Rfam family: Bacterial small subunit ribosomal RNA
Source: RNAcentral